Molecule: long non-coding RNA, 522 nt
Filed under: Brassica rapa (field mustard)
Lineage: Eukaryota; Viridiplantae; Streptophyta; Magnoliopsida; Brassicales; Brassicaceae
Description: long non-coding RNA (BRAP_LNC001794)
Source: RNAcentral
UAUUGUUUAAGCUUUAAUCAAUUAAAAACGAGAUAUUCUUAAGCUUGAUACUUAUUGUCUCGACAUGUGGGGUGUUAAAUAUCAUCUGUUCCUACUCAAUUAAUAAGUAAAUCAAACUGCACUUUAUUUUCAAAAAAAAAAAGCAGCUGCACUUUUCAAUCGGAAAACCAAAUUGCCAAUUAACCACAAAAAGAGUUUUAGAAGGAAACAGUGUCCAUGUGUAUAGAAUGCAUUAAGAUAUAAUAAAUUUGAGAUAUUAAUUUGAUUAGUGGUCAUAAUUAUAGGAAUAUGAACUCGAUAUAUUAUUAAGAUGAUUCUACAAAUUUUGUCGGGUAGGUUAGUCAAUUCGGAAUCAACAACUUUAGAUGAAAAAAUGAAAACCACGUAUUCUAAGUUCUAAGUUCUAAGUUCUAACCCUUUAGCAAAGUAUGUGAUGUAUUUAUCAAAAAAAUAAAAAAAAAGUAUGUGAUGUGUAUAUAUGCACUAUGCCUUUAAUCGAUAACUCUUCAAUAUUAAUGGCUC